Molecule: ribosomal RNA, 1386 nt
Filed under: human gut metagenome
Description: bacterial LSU rRNA
Rfam family: Bacterial large subunit ribosomal RNA
Source: RNAcentral
AGUAGGUCAGCGCAGGGGUGACACGGAAUGGGAGCCGGCCGCGGAGGUGGUUUUCCGUGGUCAAGCACGCAGCCAGUCAUGUAGGCAAAUCCGCAUGGCGCGCAUGGCGAGGUGUGAUGAUGGGAGCCUUUUGGGCUCGAUAUCCGGUUGUCCAGGCCGUCGAGAAAAGCCUCGGCGUGAGGGCCAUGGCCGCCCGUACCCCAAACCGACACUGGUGGUCAGGUAGAGAAUACCAAGGCGAUCGAGCGAAUCCUGGUCAAGGAACUCGGCAAAUCACUCCCGUGCCUUCGGUAUAAGGGAGACCCGCUGGGGUGAACCGGCUAGCCCGGGGAGCUUUGGUGGGUGGCACAGACCAGGGGGUAGCGACUGUUUACCAAAAACACAGGUGCAUGCGAAGGCGAAAGCCGCUGUAUAUGCACUGACGCCUGCCCGGUGCCGGAAGGUUAAGAGGAUCCGUCAAUCCCUUCGGGAUGAAGCGGUGAAUUCAAGCCCCGGUAAACGGCGGUGGUAACUAUAACCAUCCUAAGGUAGCGAAAUUCCUUGUCGGGUAAGUUCCGACCUGCACGAAUGGCGUAACGACUUCCCCACUGUCUCGACCAGGAGCUCGGCGAAAUUGCAGUACGAGUAAAGAUGCUCGUUAAGCGCAGAAGGACGAAAAGACCCCGGGACCUUUACUAUACCUUGGUAUUGGCGUUAGGCGCGGAUUGUGUAGCAUAGGCGGGAGGCUUCGAAGCGGGUGCGCCAGCAUUCGUGGAGCCGCAAGGUGAAAUACCGCUCUGUUCUCGUUUGACGUCUAACCUCGACAAGUCAUCCUUGUCAGGGACAGUGCCUGGCGGGUAGUUCAACUGGGGCGGUUGCCUCCCAAAGAGUAACGGAGGCGCUCAAAGGUCCGCUCAGCCCGGUUGGCAAUCGGGUGUCGAGUGUAAUCGCACAAGCGGGCUUGACUGCGAGGACGACGGUCCGAGCAGGGACGAAAGUCGGAGAUAGUGAUCCGGUGCCGGCGCACGGGCGCGGCAUCGCUCAACGGAUAAAAGGUACCCCGGGGAUAACAGGCUGAUCAUUCCCAAGAGUCCAUAUCGACGGGAUGGUUUGGCACCUCGAUGUCGGCUCGUCGCAUCCUGGGGCUGGAGCAGGUCCCAAGGGUUCGGCUGUUCGCCGAUUAAAGCGGCACGCGAGCUGGGUUCAGAACGUCGUGAGACAGUUUGGUCUCUAUCCUCUGCGCUCGUUGGAAUCCUGAGGAGGCCUGCCCAUAGUACGAGAGGACCUGGGUGGACGAACCUCUGGUAUGCCGGUUGUCGCGCCAGCGGCACGGCCGGUUGGCUACGUUCGGGAGGGAUAACCGCUGAAAGCAUCUAAGCGGGAAGCCUGCUCCAAGAUUAGGAUUCC